GGGGACCUUUGGGGCCCUAAAGACUGGCCACCUUAGUAGCGCGCUCCACAUGGGGCAAACGGACGGGGGGCUUACACAUAGCGGAUCUACUGGGGCACGCCCCCGAUGAUCUGCAACGGCGGGGCAACCCGUCGUAGCUAAACGGAAGACAGAAA
Phaeobacter sp. CECT 5382 is the source of this 155-nucleotide non-coding RNA. The record is from Rfam. NCBI's taxonomy places the organism in Bacteria, Pseudomonadati, Pseudomonadota, Alphaproteobacteria, Rhodobacterales, Roseobacteraceae.